AACCCUGAUGCAGCCAUGCCGCGUGUGUGAAGAAGGCCUUCGGGUUGUAAAGCACUUUCAGUAGGGAGGAAGGUAGUGUAGUUAACACCUGCACUAUUUGACGUUACCUACAGAAGAAGCACCGGCUAACUCCGUGCCAGCAGCCGCGGUAAUACGGAGGGUGCGAGCGUUAAUCGGAAUUACUGGGCGUAAAGCGCAUGCAGGCGGCCUGUUAAGUCAGAUGUGAAAGCCCGGGGCUUAACCUCGGAAUUGCAUUUGAAACUGGCAGGCUAGAGUCUUGUAGAGGGGGGUAGAAUUUCAGGUGUAGCGGUGAAAUGCGUAGAGAUCUGAAGGAAUACCAGUGGCGAAGGCGGCCCCCUGGACAAAGACUGACGCUCAGAUGCGAAAGCGUGGGGAGCAAACAGGAUUAGAUACCCUGGUAGUCCACGCCGUAAACGAUGUCUACUUGGAGGUUGUGGCCUUGAGCCGUGGCUUUCGGAGCUAACGCGUUAAGUAGACCGCCUGGGGAGUACGGUCGCAAGAUUAAAACUCAAAUGAAUUGACGGGGGCCCGCACAAGCGGUGGAGCAUGUGGUUUAAUUCGAUGCAACGCGAAGAACCUUACCUACUCUUGACAUCCAGUGAAGCUUGAAGAGAUUCGAGUGUGCCUUCGGGAACUCU
This 659-nucleotide ribosomal RNA is filed under the name Photobacterium damselae. RNAcentral describes it as "bacterial SSU rRNA". It matches the Rfam family "Bacterial small subunit ribosomal RNA", at positions 379 to 1030 of the family's 1533-position model. Lineage: Bacteria; Pseudomonadati; Pseudomonadota; Gammaproteobacteria; Vibrionales; Vibrionaceae. The record is from RNAcentral.